AGCAGCCGUGGUAAUUCCAGCUCCAAUAGCGUAUAUUAAAGUUGUUGCAGUUAAAAAGCUCGUAGUUGAAUUUCGGGAUCAGUACGCUGGUCGUGCCUUUGGUAUGUACUGGUGUCACUGAUUCCUCCCUUCUGAAGAACCGUUAUGCCAUUUAUUUGGUGUGGCGGGGAAUCAGGACUGUUACUUUGAAAAAAUUAGAGUGUUUAAAGCAGGCUCGCGCUUGAAUACAUUAGCAUGGAAUAAUGAAAUAGGACGUUUGAUCUUAUUUUGUUGGUUUCUAGGAUCGACGUAAUGAUUAAUAGGGAUAGUUGGGGGCAUUAGUAUUCAAUUGUCAGAGGUGAAAUUCUUGGAUUUAUUGAAGACUAACUACUGCGAAAGCAUUUGCCAAGGAUGUUUUCAUUAAUCAAGAACGAAAGUUAGGGGAUCGAAGACGAUCAGAUACCGUCGUAGUUUUAACCAUAAACUAUGCUGACUAGGGAUCGGAUGAUGUUAUUUUUAAUGACUCA
RNAcentral lists this ribosomal RNA (506 nucleotides) under uncultured Glomus. Its description in RNAcentral is "SSU rRNA". It matches the Rfam family "Eukaryotic small subunit ribosomal RNA", at positions 569 to 1078 of the family's 1831-position model. Lineage: Eukaryota; Fungi; Glomeromycota; Glomeromycetes; Glomerales; Glomeraceae. The record is from RNAcentral.